RNAcentral lists this ribosomal RNA (468 nucleotides) under uncultured bacterium. Its description in RNAcentral is "partial 16S ribosomal RNA". It matches the Rfam family "Bacterial small subunit ribosomal RNA", at positions 28 to 507 of the family's 1533-position model. The record is from RNAcentral.
GACGAACGCUGGCGGCGUGCUUAACACAUGCAAGUCGAACGGCAAGGCCCUGCUUUUGUGGGGUGCUCGAGUGGCGAACGGGUGCGUAACACGUGAGUAACCUGCCCUUGACUUUGGUAUAACUUCAGGUAACUGGGCCUACUACCGGAUAGGAUCUCCUGUUGCAUGGUGGGGGUUGGAACGUUUCGGCGGUUGGGGAUGGACUCGCGGCUUAUCAGCUUGUUGGUGGGGUAGUGGCUUACCAAGGCUUUGACGGGUAGCCGGCCUGAGAGGGUGACCGGCCACAUUGGGACUGAGAUACGGCCCAGACUCCUACGGGAGGCAGCAGUGGGGAAUAUUGCACAAUGGGCGGAAGCCUGAUGCAGCAACGCCGCGUGCGGGAUGACGGCCUUCGGGUUGUAAACCGCUUUCGCCUGUGACGAAGCGUGAGUGACGGUAAUGGGUAAAGAAGCACCGGCUAACUACGUG